UACGGAGGAUGCAAGCGUUAUCCGGAAUGAUUGGGCGUAAAGCGUCCGCAGGUGGCUAUGUAAGUCUGCUGUUAAAGAGUGAGGCUCAACCUCAUAAGAGCAGUGGAAACUACAUGGCUAGAGUACGUUCGGGGCAGAGGGAAUUCCUGGUGUAGCGGUGAAAUGCGUAGAGAUCAGGAAGAACACCGGUGGCGAAAGCGCUCUGCUAGGCCGUAACUGACACUGAGGGACGAAAGCUAGGGGAGCGAAUGGG
RNAcentral lists this ribosomal RNA (253 nucleotides) under uncultured bacterium. RNAcentral describes it as "partial 16S ribosomal RNA". It matches the Rfam family "Bacterial small subunit ribosomal RNA", at positions 524 to 776 of the family's 1533-position model. The record is from RNAcentral.